This 775-nucleotide ribosomal RNA is filed under the name uncultured Neocallimastigales. Its description in RNAcentral is "partial large subunit ribosomal RNA". It matches the Rfam family "Eukaryotic large subunit ribosomal RNA", at positions 23 to 645 of the family's 3401-position model. The record is from RNAcentral. Lineage: Eukaryota; Fungi; Neocallimastigomycota; Neocallimastigomycetes; Neocallimastigales.
AGAGAGAGACAUGCGCGCAUAUCAAUAAGCGGAGGAAAAGAAACUAACAAGGAUUCCCUUAGUAACGGCGAGUGAAGCGGGAAGAGCUCAAAUUUGAAAUCUUCAAGGUUUUACCUUGACGAAUUGUCAGUUUAAAGAAGUGUUUUCUGCUGAAGUUUUGGUAAAAGUUCUUUGGAAUAGGACAUCAUAGAGGGUGAGAAUCCCGUAUUUGACCAUUAUUUUCAGCUUUGUGAUACACUUUCAAAGAGUCGGAUUGUUCGGGAAUGCAGUCCAAAAUGGGUGGUAAAUUUCAUCUAAAGCUAAAUAUUGGCGAGAGACCGAUAGCGAACAAGUACCGUGAGGGAAAGAUGAAAAGAACUUUGAAAAGAGAGUUAAACAGUACUUGAAAUUGUCAAAAGGGAAGCGUUUGACACCAGUGUUGUUUUCUCGAAAAUCAAUUAAAAAUGGCUCGAUUUUGUAUUGUUGAGACCUUAAAAGCUCACUGUACAUUUUUCGUGUCUUUUUUAAUGCACUUUUCGUUUAACAAGUCAACAUCAGUUUCUUUUGUUGUAAAAGGGUCAUUGGAAGGUGGCUUUCCUUUCAGAGAAAGUGUUUAUAGCCUUUGGCCUCUGCAAUCGGAGAGACUGAGGUCUGCAGCGUAGACUCUUCGGGGUUAGAUACAUUUGUGCUAAGUUAUAGCUUUUUAUAGACAACUUGUUGACUAUAAUUAGUCUUGUAGCUUACUCGCUUAUGCUAUUUUACCUACGCUUAGGAUGUUGAAGUCAUCGUAUCGCGC